GGUAGACCUCCCACCCUUGUGUAUUAUUACUUUGUUGCUUUGGCGAGCUGCCUUCGGGCCUUGUAUGCUCGCCAGAGAAUACCAAAACUCUUUUUAUUAAUGUCGUCUGAGUACUAUAUAAUAGUUAAAACUUUCAACAACGGAUCUCUUGGUUCUGGCAUCGAUGAAGAACGCAGCGAAAUGCGAUAAGUAAUGUGAAUUGCAGAAUUCAGUGAAUCAUCGAAUCUUUGAACGCACAUUGCGCCCCUUGGUAUUCCGGGGGGCAUGCCUGUUCGAGCGUCAUUUCAACCCUCAAGCUUAGCUUGGUAUUGAGUCUAUGUCAGUAAUGGCAGGCUCUAAAAUCAGUGGCGGCGCCGCUGGGUCCUGAACGUAGUAAUAUCUCUCGUUACAGGUUCUCGGUGUGCUUCUGCCAAAACCCAAAUUUUUCUAUGGUUGACCUCGGAUCAGGUAGGGAUACCCGCUGAACUUAAGCAUAUCAAUAAGCGGAGGA
This 490-nucleotide ribosomal RNA is filed under the name Botrytis cinerea. RNAcentral describes it as "eukaryotic LSU rRNA". The stretch from base 129 to 282 matches the Rfam family "5.8S ribosomal RNA". The record is from RNAcentral. Lineage: Eukaryota; Fungi; Ascomycota; Leotiomycetes; Helotiales; Sclerotiniaceae.